AUCCUUCCCACUCCCCCCCAACGCCCUAAGGCCAUGGGCUUCCUCGGGUCCUGCCUGUUGGCCCGCCCCAUCUGCGGCCCGGGGACGGGCGCGGGGGCAGCCGGUCGGCUCCCAGCCUCCCCACGCCGUGUCCUUCCAGCCUGGGCCCCGACAUUACUGGCGCUGCGGCAACCUCGGCUCAGACUGCGGGCGCUGGUCAGCGGCCGGAGCGCCGGGAGCUGCAUGGCCCCCCGCGGGGCGGGAUCCAGGGACGAGCCUGGCCAGGACAGCCCUGCGGCCUCCGUCCCCGGUCUAGCCUGGCGCGCGCCGUUAAACACAGAGCGGAGUAAAGACGGAAGGAAAUGGUAGCCGAGCACUGGGCGAGGGCAGAGCUCCCAGAAGCUGACCACAUUCCCUGCCUUGCGACCACCAUCCUCUGUCUUCAAAAACAGCAACAGCAGAUUGAGUCUUUAUGCUGCCAUCUUUCUGGUUCUCUGAUCAUAGCUGGGAAAGUUUCUCCACUUUUAAGGAAUCAUGUUAUUAGAUUUGGCCCACCCAGAUAAUCCAGGAUAAUCCCUCCAUCUCAAGGAUUGCUUGGGCUGCUAUUUUGAAAUGAGACAGAAGAGGAUCAAGGCCCAAUGCAGGAAGACCCUUUAGGAGGCUACUCCGUGAUCCAGGAAUAUCUGCACACAUGGUUUGUUCUGCUACAGACAUAUCCAACCUCUUCAUUCCAAACUACUGUCUCCAAAAGAGAAUGUGGCAAGUGUGUGUAACUGAGUAGUACAUAGAAGGAAGAAGAAGGCAACCAUGGCUGAAAGCAACCCCACUGAAUCUCAUUCAUGAAUUUACCAUGGAGAGACCUUCAAGAUGGCGGAGGAGUAAGACAUGGAGAUCACCUUCCUCCCCACAAAUACAUCAGAAAUACAUCUACAUGCGGAACAGCUCCUACAGAACUCCUACUGAACGCUGGCAGAAGACCUCAGACCUGACCAUCUAGAG
Mesoplodon densirostris (Blainville's beaked whale) is the source of this 978-nucleotide long non-coding RNA. RefSeq lists it as uncharacterized. Lineage: Eukaryota; Metazoa; Chordata; Mammalia; Artiodactyla; Ziphiidae. The record is from RefSeq and is a predicted model, not a curated record. The transcript has 5 exons.